GGACGGGUGAGUAAUACUUAGGGAUCUGCCCUUUGGAGGGGGAUAACUAUUGGAAACGAUAGCUAAUACCGCAUAUUACCUACGGGUAAAAGGGGGGUGCUUGCACCUCCCGCCAAAGGAGGAACCUAAGCGAGAUUAGCUAGUUGGUGAGGUAAAGGCUCACCAAGGCAACGAUGGGUAGGGGGCCUGAGAGGGUGGUCCCCCACACUGGUACUGAGACACGGACCAGACUCCUACGGGAGGCAGCAGUGAGGAAUAUUGGUCAAUGGAGGAAACUCUGAACCAGCCAUGCCGCGUGAAGGAUGACGGCCCUAUGGGUUGUAAACUUCUUUUAUAGAGGAAGAAACUUGUCUACGUGUAGACAACUGACGGUACUCUACGAAUAAGGAUCGGCUAACUCCGUGCCAGCAGCCGCGGUAAUACGGAGGAUCCAAGCGUUAUCCGGAUUCAUUGGGUUUAAAGGGUCCGUAGGCGGAUUUUUAAGUCAGUGGUGAAAGCCGACAGCUCAACUGUCGAACUGCCAUUGAUACUGGAAAUCUUGAGUACAAAUGAAGUAGGCGGAAUGAGUCAUGUAGCGGUGAAAUGCAUAGAUAUGACUCAGAACACCGAUUGCGAAGGCAGCUUACUAACAUGUAACUGACGCUGAGGGACGAAAGCGUGGGGAGCGAACAGGAUUAGAUACCCUGGUAGUCCACGCCGUAAACGAUCAUCACUCGCUGUUG
Molecule: ribosomal RNA, 722 nt
Filed under: uncultured bacterium
Lineage: Bacteria
Description: bacterial SSU rRNA
Rfam family: Bacterial small subunit ribosomal RNA
Source: RNAcentral